This 506-nucleotide ribosomal RNA is filed under the name uncultured bacterium. Its description in RNAcentral is "partial 16S ribosomal RNA". It matches the Rfam family "Bacterial small subunit ribosomal RNA", at positions 29 to 523 of the family's 1533-position model. The record is from RNAcentral.
AGUGAACGCUGGCGGUAGGCCUAACACAUGCAAGUCGAACGGCAGCACAGGAGAGCUUGCUCUCUGGGUGGCGAGUGGCGGACGGGUGAGGAAUACAUCGGAAUCUACUUUUUCGUGGGGGAUAACGUAGGGAAACUUACGCUAAUACCGCAUACGACCUACGGGUGAAAGCAGGGGACCUUCGGGCCUUGCGCGAUUGAAUGAGCCGAUGUCGGAUUAGCUAGUUGACGGGGUAAAGGCCCACCAAGGCGACGAUCCGCAGCUGGUCUGAGAGGAUGAUCCGCCACACUGGAACUGAGACACGGUCCAGACGCCUACGGGAGGCAGCAGUGGGGAAUAUUGGACAAUGGGCGCAAGCCUGAUCCAGCCAUACCGCGUGGGUGAAGAAGGCCUUCGGGUUGUAAAGCCCUUUUGUUGGGAAAGAAAUCCAGCUGGCUAAUACCCGGUUGGGAUGACGGUACCCAAAGAAUAAGCACCGGCUAACUUCGUGCCAGCCGCCGCGGUAA